Molecule: ribosomal RNA, 442 nt
Filed under: uncultured bacterium
Lineage: Bacteria
Description: bacterial SSU rRNA
Rfam family: Bacterial small subunit ribosomal RNA
Source: RNAcentral
UGGGAAAUCUUCCGCAAUGGGCGAAAGCCUGACGGAGCAAUGCCGCGUGAACGAAGAAGGCCUUCGGGUUGUAAAGUUCUGUCCUAGCCGAAGAGAGAGGAAGGGAGUAACUGCCCUGCCUAGGACGGUAGGCUAGGAGGAAGCCCCGGCUAACUACGUGCCAGCAGCCGCGGUAAAACGUAGGGGGCAAGCGUUGUCCGGAAUCACUGGGCGUAAAGGGCGCGUAGGCGGCAAUAUAAGUCAGGUGUGAAAAGUGAGGGGCUCAACCGUUAGAGUGCACCUGAUACUGUAUAGCUUGAGUAUGGGAGAGGGAAGCGGAAUUCCUAGUGUAGCGGUGAAAUGCGUAGAUAUUAGGAAGAACACCAGUGGCGAAGGCGGCUUUCUGGCCCAAAAACUGACGCUGAGGCGCGAAAGCGUGGGGAGCAAACAGGAUUAGAUACCC